Vicia villosa (hairy vetch) is the source of this 1775-nucleotide long non-coding RNA. RefSeq lists it as uncharacterized. The record is from RefSeq and is a predicted model, not a curated record. NCBI's taxonomy places the organism in Eukaryota, Viridiplantae, Streptophyta, Magnoliopsida, Fabales, Fabaceae. The transcript has 6 exons.
GUGUCGUUUCACAUUCCUCGUGCUUCACCCUAUCCUCUCUCACGAACGGCGCUUUCUCACCGUCUCCAAUCAACCUGCAGCGCCGCCGUGAGAUUAUUCCGGCCACCGUCUCCAAUCAACCUGCCGCGCCGCCGUGAGAUUCUUCCGGCCACCGUCUCCUCCUUCUUCAAAUCAUCUACCUCACACUAUAAACCUUCUCAAUUUCAGUCUACCUCGCUUCCUAACAUCUACUACGAACACUAACCCUAGCAGCGACCAAAGCCAAAUUACAUGAGAUUAGGGACGAGUCCGGCUACGAUUGCUUAGGGUUUUCGUUCAUAGGAACCUGUUCUACACAACGGUAUGAAGAAAAGCGGGAAUCAGAACUUACCGGAGUCACAAGAUGAUGCAGAUCGUUGAGGAAAACCAGAGGUGAAAUAUUAAGCGUCCGAAGACGAUGACGCACGCGAAAUAAACGCGCGGAAGGGGAGGGCUUCAAUGUCAGAUGAUGAUGGUGUCGAAGUCUGAAUGAAGAUUGAAGAUUGUUGUUUUGUGAGGGAGAAGGAUUAUCAUGCGAAGGAGAAGGAUGAAGAUUGGUCGUGGUUGGUGAUUGAAUGAAGAUGAUGAAGCAGAGAGAUCCAGAAUGAUGAAGAAUGGUGAGGAGUGAUGAAUGUUGAAGUGUGGAGAUGGAUGAAGAUGGUGAUGGAAAUAGGCUCAGUUAAAAGCUCAGUGAGUCAUCCAUAACUUUUGACUGUUGCAACAUUUCCUGCCUUACAAUAUAUUACAAGUUAUAAUCAAAUAGUAGUCAGCCUUGAUUGGGUUACCUUUCUGGGGGUUAAAUAUUUAUCUUUCGAUCAAAUUUACAUAGACCUUUGCCACGAGAACUCUCACCCACCCCACCUGAUGCAGUGGUUGGUUCAGAAGGUUCAAAACUUGAACCUCCUAAAGGUUUGCCAUAGUUCCUAGACUAUGUUUCAUGUAUGGCUCACUUAGCUGUUUUUGGAAUUCUUGGGGUCCUCACGAGAUAUUUACUGCAAAAGUUAUUUGGCCCUCGGGUUGCUAAUUUGACAAGCAAUCAUAGUAUUCUUUACCUUGACCUUCCUUCUAAUAUGGAAUGGAAUCCAGCAGAGAAGGAACUCAUAUGAAGACGGUGUGUUUGGAACAACAUGUCCCAUUCCUCCUGGACAGAACUUCACAUACAUACUUCAAGUCAAAGAUCAAAUUGGUAGUUUCUAUUAUUUUCCAUCUCUUUCAUUCCACAAAGCUGCUGGUGCUUUUGGAGGUAUUAGGAUCCUAAGCAGGCCAAGAAUUCCAGUUCCAUUGAUGAUCCUGCUGGUGAUUACACUGUUCUUAUUGGAGAUUGGUACAAAUCCAAUCACACUGAUUUGAAGGUUCAACUUGAUAAUGGUAAGAAGUUGCCUUUCCCUGAUGGAAUCCUUAUCAAUGGUCGUGGCUCUGGAGGAUCAUCUUUCAAUGUCGAGCAAGGUACUCAUUUUAAAUCACAUUCAAUAAUAAUUAGGAAAAUGGUCCAUGCUAUUCUUAUUUGUUACUCAAUUGGCUGAGACAACCCAGUGUUAUCAAUAUGCUCGCUUUGUACAAUGUCCUUAAUCAUACUCAACCUGCUGGUCCACCACAUGGCUAUCCAGCUCUCGGUUAUUAGAUUCAUAAAAGCCAUGUAGCACCAGUGUCUAUUACGAUUCGGCCGAGAACCUUCACCACAAAUGACGGGCCUCCGGCGAAAAUCACGGUGCAUCUGCUUGUAAAGUGGACAUCAACAAUAUGUUUCAGUUUAAUAA